RNAcentral lists this ribosomal RNA (1943 nucleotides) under human gut metagenome. Its description in RNAcentral is "bacterial LSU rRNA". It matches the Rfam family "Bacterial large subunit ribosomal RNA", at positions 540 to 2481 of the family's 2925-position model. The record is from RNAcentral.
GAAAUAGUCCCUGAAACCAUGCGCCUACAAGCGGUCGGAGCUGCUUUUGCAGUGACGGCGUGCCUUUUGCAUAAUGAGCCUACGAGUUGCCAUGUCCGGCAAGGCUAAGGGCGAGUACGCCCGCAGCCGCAGUGAAAGCGAGCCUGAACAGGGCGCCGAGUCGGAUGGGGCAGACGCGAAACCAAGUGAUCUACGCAUGGCCAGGCUGAAGUCCCGGUAACACGGGAUGGAGGGCCGCACGGAUAAGCGUUGAAAAGCUUCCCGAUGAGCUGUGCGUAGGAGUGAAAGGCCAAUCAAACUUGGAGAUAGCUCGUACUCCCCGAAAGGCAUUUAGGUGCCGCGUCGGAUGUUCACCGCGAGAGGUAGAGCGACCGAUAGGACGAGAGGGCUUCACCGCCUAUCGAGUCCUGACGAACUCCGAAUGCUCGCGGUCCGCAGUCCGGCAGUAAGGGGGCGGGUGCUAAGGUCCGUCCCCGAGAGGAGAAGAAUCCUGACCGUCGUCUAAGGUCCCGAAAUUCUGUCUAAGUUAGUCUAACGAGGUCUGGUCUCAGUGACAGCUAGGAUGUUGGCUUGGAAGCAGCCAUUCAUUCAAAGAGUGCGUAACAGCUCACUAGUCGAGAGACCGGGCAUGGAUAAUAAUCGGGUAUUAAGUCAGAUACCGAAGGCACGGGGUAGCAGAGUAAUGAAAAGUACCGGUAGGGGAGCAUUCCACCUCCGUCGAAUGGUUUCCGUGAGGAUUCCUGGAGGGCGUGGAAAAGCAAAUGUAGGCAUAAGUAACGACUAGGGGCGUGAGAACCGCCCCCGCCGCAAGUCUAAGGUUUCCCGGGCGAUGCCAGUCAGCCCGGGGUCAGUCGGGUCCUAAGGCUCAGCCGAACGGCGAGGCCGAUGGCAGACACGGUUAAUAUUCCGUGACCCUCUGCUGGAGCGACGUGGAGACGGAGCAGUGACACCACCGCGCCCUGACGGAAUAGGGCGUUGAAGGCCGUAGGUGCUGAUGGAGGCAGGCAAAUCCACCUCCAGAGCUGAAAGCCGACAGUACGCUUCCUCCUUCGGGAGGCGGCGACAGCGUGGGUAACCAUACUUCCUAGAAAAUCCGCUAAGCAUAUCCAUCUGAGGCCCGUACCGCAAUCCGACACAGGUAGACGGGUAGAACAUACUGAGGCGUUGGGAGAUUCAUGGCUAAGGAACUAGGCAAACUGACCCCGUAACUUCGGGAUAAGGGGUCCUCACGGCAACGUGAGGCGCAGAGAAUAGGCCCAGGCAACUGUUUAACAAAAACACAGGGCUGUGCAAACUCGAAAGAUGAUGUAUACAGCCUGACACCUGCCCGGUGCCGGAAGGUUAAGAGGAGGAGUCAGCCCCUUGUGGGUGAAGCCCCGAGUUGAAGCCCCGGUAAACGGCGGCCGUAACUAUAACGGUCCUAAGGUAGCGAAAUUCCUUGUCGGGUAAGUUCCGACCUGCACGAAUGGUGUAAUGAUCCGGGCGCUGUCUCGGCCAUGAUCCCAGUGAAAUUGUAGUAUCGGUGAAGAUGCCGAUUACCCGCGAUGGGACGAAAAGACCCCGUGAACCUUUACUACAGCUUAGCGCUGACCUUGGUCAUCCGAUGUGUAGGAUAGGCCGGAGGCUUCGAAGCGGGGACGCCAGUCUUCGUGGAGCCGCCCUUGAAAUACGGCCCUUUGGCUGUCCGAGGUCUAACGCGCGUUUUGCGCGGACACCGCUUGGCGGGUAGUUUGACUGGGGUGGUCGCCUCCAAAAGUGUAACGGAGGCUUCCAAAGGUGCCCUCAGGCCGAUUGGUAACCGGCCUCUAGAGUGCAAUGGCAUAAGGGCGCUUGACUGGGAGGGAGACAUCCCGAGCAGGCAGGAAACUGGGGCAUAGUGAUCCGGCGGACGCGUAUGGAAGCUCCGUCGCUCAAAGGAUAAAAGGUACUCCGGGGAUAACAGG